CCGGAGGGGCCUUUCCAUCGCACUCCACCUAAGCCGCCUGGUCACCCGGCCGCUCCUCACCCCACCUCGCCCCACCCCUCCCAGAGUUAGGGAGCUUGAGUUUUCUAUGCUGUACGUCAGGCCAGCAGGGUUCGUCAGGCCGGCAGGGUUCGGCUGGAUUAUACUCAUGAAUAUUUCCUGCAGUAAGUGCAGGGAGAGGGUUACAAGAGCUACUAGGGCCUGGACUCCAAGUCCCCAGCCCCCAACUGCUGUAAGAGACAGACCAAUGACUGUAAAGUACUCAGACCUGUACCUGGAGCAGUGCAGGGUAUGGUGGCCAUUGCUGCAAUUACCUGGUAGUUCUGGUGCCAGCCUCCAACUGCUGACAUCUCUGCAGGAGACCACCCUUGGAUGCUGGUGAGAACCUGGGCUCACCAGCUGGAAGGCCUGGGCCUCACUCCAGGUUUGCUGGGCGUUCACCAUUCCCUACAACCCCCAGCCCCCAUUUACACCCUGGGAAACCUUGCACGGGGUCAUUCCCCUCUCUGAAGCCAGUGACUUAUCUGGGACCAGACAGGUGUGCGAGGAAUUGAGGAGAGCUUGUCAGUAAUCGGGAGUCGUGAACCACUGAGUGCCUGGCACAAGUAAGUUUUGUGAGACCGUGGCCAGAGUGUGGAGCUGGGACCCAGAAGGUCUGAUUCUAAUCCUGUGUUUACUGCUCAGUGCUGGGUGGAUUUAGGCCGGUUUCGUUUCAUCUUCCCAAAGUCCUCUGAGGACCUCAUUCCUGCCUAGUGUCCUGGGUCUGCCCUCACCCCUCCACAGUCCAUGCUCCCCGCAGCAGUCAGAAGGAUCCUACUAGAACCUCAGUCAGAUCCUGUAACUGAAUCCCACUCAGAAACCUUCCACGGCUCCAGCUCAGCCAGAGCACAGCCCAAGUCCCCAAAAGAUCCUACAAGGACCGACAUGGUCUGGCCCCCCUCCCACCUUUACCUCCCUGACCUCACAGCCCCCCACUCUCACGCUCACCCACGCUGCUUCAGCCACACUCAUCCUCAGCCCUUCCCCAAGUGUGCCAAACUCACUCCCACCUCAGGCCUUCGCACUGGAUAUUCUCUCUGCCUGGAAUGUUCUCCCUGAGGCUUGCACAGCUGGCUCCUUCCAUCAGAUCCCUCUGUCUCUGUUCAGCUGUCACCUCCACGGAGAAGCCCUCUCUGACCUGGUCUAAAGCGGGCACGCCAUUAUUCCAUCACUCUUAUUGUCUUAACUUGUUUUUUUUUUUUUCUUGACGGUACUUAACGUUUCCUGCUGUCAUAUUAAAGAUUCAUUUAUUUGCCUGUUUAAUGUUGGCUGUCAAGGCAGCUGGAUGACUCUCAUGUGGCCUCAGCAGAUUCAGAACAUCAAAAGAGAAAAGGAGUUUCCUGAGCCUCUUGUUUAUUUAUCCAGCUUGUCCGCUGGCAAAGCCAACAAUCCCAAAAAGGCCACAGAACAGGCCUGGAGGAUUUUCUCCAAAUUUGGGGGUCCCCAUAGAGCGGCCUUCUGGCAGUGGGGUUCAUAGCCCGGCUCGGCCAAUACUAAGCUGAAUGACCCUGGGCAGUCUGCUCCACCUCCCUCAGCUGCAGUGCCUCCUGGGUAGAAUAGGGUUGAGGUGAGGAGUAAAUGAUCCAAUCUAGGUGACACACCUAUCAGAGUCCCUGAUACCCAGCGAGCAUAAGUGGGCAUUAACUGUCAGAAUAAGCUGUCAGAGCUUAUUCCAGUUCAGCUUCUCACCUGAUGUGUGAUCAGGUCUCGUUUUUCUCAUCUGAAAAAUGGGAAGAACUGUUCCUUCCUCACAGGGCUGUUGUGAGGACUGAAUUAUAUAUAUGACGAGAGAAUGCGCGGAGCCUGGCACACAGUAGAGGCAAAAUCCCCUUCGGGAAGGAGAUGAGCUGCUUGUACACCAAGGAGAGAAGAAUGUUUUAUGGCCCCUGACUGCUCUCUUGCUAACAGAACUUGAUUUUGCUCAGGAAUCGGGCAGGUGUUUAGGAAGGUGAACCACCCCUUCCCCAGGAAGUGAACGACCAUGUGUCUGAAGCAGCCAGCCAAAAACAUUCCUAACCAAGAUGACCUUCCACUUACGGCCAUGGUGAAGAUAACGUGUCUGUAGCACCUCACACAGUACUGCCAUGGUAUCCAGCUGGCAACGGACCUGCAGGUGGGAGGGAGCGCAUUGGAUGCAGCAACAAGAGAUAGCUCCUACGAAGAUAAACAAAAUGAAAAUAAGAAAGGCUUCCCUUAGCCCAGCGAGACUGAGCAGCCAGGAAGUGAGGGCGGGGAGAUCAAGACUAAAAAUUCCUGUCCUCUGUUCAAUAUUGGACACAACUUCGUGAA
Pteropus alecto (black flying fox) is the source of this 2346-nucleotide long non-coding RNA. RefSeq lists it as uncharacterized. NCBI's taxonomy places the organism in Eukaryota, Metazoa, Chordata, Mammalia, Chiroptera, Pteropodidae. The record is from RefSeq and is a predicted model, not a curated record. The transcript is spliced from 4 exons.